This 775-nucleotide ribosomal RNA is filed under the name uncultured Neocallimastigales. RNAcentral's name for it is "partial large subunit ribosomal RNA". It matches the Rfam family "Eukaryotic large subunit ribosomal RNA", at positions 24 to 638 of the family's 3401-position model. Lineage: Eukaryota; Fungi; Neocallimastigomycota; Neocallimastigomycetes; Neocallimastigales. The record is from RNAcentral.
GUAGUCUCGCACAGAUGCAUAUCAAUAAGCGGAGGAAAAGAAACUAACAAGGAUUCCCCUAGUAACGGCGAGUGAAGCGGGAAGAGCUCAAAUUUGAAAUCUUAAAGGGUUUCCCUUUACGAAUUGUAGUUUAAAGAAGUGUUUUCUGUUGAGGUUUUGGUAAAAGUUCUUUGGAAUAGGACAUCAUAGAGGGUGAGAAUCCCGUAUUUGACCUUUACUUUCAACUUUGUGAUACACUUUCAAAGAGUCGGAUUGUUUGGGAAUGCAGUCCAAAAUGGGUGGUAAAUUUCAUCUAAAGCUAAAUAUUGGCGAGAGACCGAUAGCGAACAAGUACCGUGAGGGAAAGAUGAAAAGAACUUUGAAAAGAGAGUUAAACAGUACGUGAAAUUGUCAAAAGGGAAGCGUUUGACACCAGUGUUGUUUUUCUGAAAAUCAAUUAAAGAACUGUUUAUGCUAAGUUGUUUAGACUUUAUCAGCUAUCUGCUUUAGUUUUGAGCUUUUCUUUAAUGCACUUUUCAGUUAACAAGUCAACAUCAAUUUCUUUUGCUGUAAAAAAGCUUGAGGAAGGUGGCUUGAGAUUCGUCUUAAGUGUUUAUAGCCUCUUGCCUAUGCAGUCGGAGAGAUUGAGGUCUGCAGCGUAGAUCCUUCGGGGCUAAAUGCAUUUGUGCUAAGUUAUAGCAUUUUAUAGACAACUUGUUGACUAUGAUUUGUCUUGUAGCUUACUCGCUUAUGUUAUUUUACCUACGCUUAGGAUGUUGACAGCAGUAUAGACUGU